GGGAAGGGGUGCUGGUCGAUCUUCAUCGGCUUGGCCGGCUUUGUUGGUACUUCAAAUUUGAGCCUGCCUUGUUCGAUGGCUGAUUGUAUCUGCUGUCGGAAGAUUUUGCAUUCAUUUGUAUCGUGAGAGGUGGCAUUAUGCCACUUGCAAUAUUUCAUCCUCUUUAGUUGUUCGGUCGAUGGGAUCAUAUGGUAUGGCGAGAGCUUGAUCUGUCCUUCCUGGAGGAGAAGAUCGAAAAUUUUAUCGGCCUUUGAUGUGUCGAAACCAAAUGCUUCCGGAUCCUUUUUCCCGAACGGACAUGAUAUCGGCUUUUUUCCUUUAACCCACUCUGCCAGGCCGAUUUUUUGUUUCUUCUUCGGAGUCAGCCUCCUCUAAGUACGCC
RNAcentral lists this long non-coding RNA (382 nucleotides) under Setaria viridis. Its description in RNAcentral is "long non-coding RNA (SVIR_LNC004260)". Lineage: Eukaryota; Viridiplantae; Streptophyta; Magnoliopsida; Poales; Poaceae. The record is from RNAcentral.